CUAACUAGCUGCGUGGGAUGCCCAAGCAUAUUUAAUGUACCGAUCCGCUCUUUUGCUUUCUGACUGAUAAACGCGACAUUUUGUAAGGUUCUUGGUUGCAAAUAUGUGCCAAGUGGAAACUCGGCAAUCAGCUAUCAGCUAUAUGCUAUGUCCGGGAUGUUUGUUGCUCAAACACUGAAAGUUAGUCGCCAUCCAUGCCGGUGAAGGUUUUAACCUUAACGGGAGCACCCCGCCCCAGUGCUCUCAAGUGGGAUGAGUCAGAGCUUCUGAACGAAUGCUGGUUUUGCAGCCUUAGUUUUGUUGAUGGAUGUCGUGCUACAACGGCGGGCUCGGUUCGUUGGCGGCGUGUUGAGGAACGCGAGGGGCAUUACGGCUUCCCAGGAGAGCAUGACAAAGUUGACAAGAUUCAUGAUGAUGAUAAUAUGAAUGAUGGAGAUACGGAGUUUUUUGCACUGGGUGGUGCGAUUGAGGCGCACACUGGUUUACAGGCAACAAUGGAUACUCAGGUGGAAACUGGGUCGGAAUUCUACGACCAUUCCUUUGCCCUGCAUGAAGGAGGAGGGGAUUCUAGUAUACCGAGCGGGAUGGAAUCAUUUUACGCAGAAUCCAACUUCGAGACUACAUUGGACGAUACCAGUAUAGUCAGUAGGGCGGACCACUUGACGGAGUAUCAUAACAGCCCUCAGCAUCCUCUGCCACCACCUUUAACAGGAAAUUUGAGUAAUCUAGAAGAUAUCCCUAACGCUGCUUAUCUCCAUUCGAUUUCCCCUCGGAUGAUCCCUAUCAACCUGAUCGUGGCGAUAAUCACAAUAUACCCUCGCAAACGAGUACGAACUCGUUGGGGUUAUGAGACCGAGGUUGUCGAGUUUGUGGUGGGUGAUGAAACGAGGUCGGGAUUUCAGAUCACUUGUUGGUUGCCGCUCAAGGGUGAACCGCGAGAUGGCGCGAAGGAAGAUCUCUAUGGGUCGAUACUAGGGUUGCGUCCACGAGAUAUCGUUCUUUUCCGGUCUGUGGCGCUAAACAGCUUUCGGGGUAAGGUUUAUGGCCAGACUUUGAAGGGUAACAUGACGAAAGUUGACCUUCUGCAUCGUGCGCUCGUUGGCCCUGACGAUGAUGGGGGUCUGUUCACUCUCCAGGCCCUUGCUGACGGAACGACCGAUUGUCACCCACAACUAGUGAAGGUGCGCAGAGUUAGAGAUUGGAUUUUAAAUUUCAUCAGUCCUCAUAUUUAUGGAAAGGUCGGGCAAUCGUCAGUUCGACCCGGAGUGCCAGGAGACGAAAGGUGUCUCCCACCAGAUACCCAAUAAGUGAGAAAGAAUUUUAUUGAUCACGUUUUGGCAAAGAACUAGAAUUUACGUUCUCGGCUUGGGGUCCAAAGGUGGUUGGUUAACUUUCGGCGUGUUUAAACCCUCCAUUUCCACCGUUUGCAGUGGGAAGCCGUGCAAGACAAAGAUCCCUGGAUCAUCAUCAUAUGAUGGCAUGGGGAAGGAUAUUCCGGACUGACUUUUUGUAUUUUAGUCGUUGGCUCGAUGUUUCGCAGUGCAAAUUUAGGGGAUGUUUUUGGUCAUGAGAUGGAGAACGACCAUUGGAGAGCGCUAAGUUUCAGGGACAUUCAAUUAUGUUUUUGCUAAUAUUUUGUUUAAAUUUUUUUUUUUUUUUUAAUUUUCUUGGAAGGUGUCGAGAUCAAGUCGUCAGAAUCCAAGUUUCAAUGCUACCCAUUAUUUCCACUACAGCUUUUUGGUUACUUGAGUUGUAUCUUUAAUAGACAAGCGUUCUUUGUCCUCGUCCUCCACAUUGAACAAUUUUCCCCGUG
RNAcentral lists this small RNA (1813 nucleotides) under Histoplasma capsulatum. Its description in RNAcentral is "hypothetical RNA". Lineage: Eukaryota; Fungi; Ascomycota; Eurotiomycetes; Onygenales; Ajellomycetaceae. The record is from RNAcentral.